UACAGAUUGUCAACCAUCUUAUGCUUGUACUCAUCAUCGACUGCUAUAUGUUAUAAGGCACGAUAACAAAUUGUCCUUCAUCACCUCUUGCAAAUCUCACAACCUCCAAUUCUUGAUGCACUAAAUCGACUUUCACCACGACCAUUUCUGUUCCCUCGCCACCCCUGCUCGGAUGAAGAGGUGACUGAAAAGAAAAUGAUAUAAGUACAUCAAACAAUCAGAUCAGGGCUGUUGACAAUCCAGAAAUGCCAUGAGUCAUACUGGUGUACAUGAAUAACCAAAUGCCAUAUACAAUUGUCCUGAAGGGGGUAAAUAGAAAGUUUAACCAAAGUAAUCUUACAACCUCAUAUUAGAGGUUAGAUAUCUUUCACGGCAAUUACGGAAAUGAUGAACACUCUUACAGUAAAGGGAGUCAGUGGUGACAACGGGAGGCACACGCGUAGUCGGCGACAACUGCGCGGAUGAGAGGGGAGGACAGGGGGACUUAGUUUGUGCUCCUGUAGCUACACGAUGGAAGAAGUAAAAAAAUCAGUGUAUGCUCAGUCCAUGCAACAUUAAAAGUGCACCCAAAAAAGAAAAUCAAAAACUCAGUUUAUUCUCAUGGUUCUUUACUCAACACUUGCUUGGCCAUGUUGCUCUUUCCCCGCCUAUUCGCUGCACGUCACAAAAACACAUGCCAAAAGAAAUCUGGAAUACAAUGCCUAAAAAUUUGGAAUAUAAUGCCACAAAAACUUGCAAAAUUUCUUUUAAAUAUGAAUCUCUACUCUCCCCUGUUCACGAAAAUAUGUUGUGCUCUAGCUAGUCUAUACAGAUCAUACAGGUUCUAUUGAUUAGGGGGUCACUAAUAAGUGGAGAAAUAUGUAUAGAGAGAUAUGGGCGAGAAAGGCGCAGUACCAUUGCCUAUGUAACGUAUUAGUCUAACAUUCAUCAGUAUUAUAUACCGUGAAAUGUACAAGUCCACAUUGCAGACCACCCAAACAUGUCACAAUCCCUAUAUUAAGCUGAUAAAGCAAAUGAACAACCAGUCAGAACAUACUUAAAGUCAGGUCGAUUUACAAAUUGCAGGCAAUGAUCAAGAGUAGGUGAAUUACUAACCAAAGGAAGCCUCCAGAAUCAAAUCGAGCAUGACACCAUCAUGGACAUCAGGUUGAAGCGAUCUAUUUUCUAGAUAAUAUACCUUGCAUUUCUGUAGUAAUAAAGCAUGAACAAUGAUUGGAGAUUAGAAGAAAAAAUGAUAGAAAGAAAUAGUUGUGAGAGAUCUUGCAUUCACAUUUCAUGUAGCACAAUUAGAGAGAGAAAAGACAGGCAAAUAUAAAAAAUAAGGCCAAGAAUUGUUUUCUUAAAGCCUUAAAAUGAACUGGUAAAGAAAAACAAACCCCAUGGAAGAAAAGAACAAAAUAUGUGCUUCAGGUAGAAGCAUCAGUCACCAGGCUCACAUCCAAGGUUUUUGAGUCGCCGACUAAUCGCCAAGUCGUUGGAGCGAGGUUGGCUUGCACAGGCGACUUGGCUUGAGGAGCGAGUCGCGCGGCUGGUAGGCUAGUCGACGAUUAGUCGACGACUAGUCGGGCGACUAGGACCUCAGAGCAGGGCGGCUUGCUUCAGCAAGGCCAAGGGAGGGAAGACUGGGAAGGUGAGGAGGCCAGAGUUUGAGGGAGGGGAGGAGGAGACGAAGCUGGAGAGUGCGCCGCCUGUACGAGAAGCACGGAAGAGACGAAGGAGAAAGGCACAUGGGAGAGCAGAUGCACGGUCCAGAUUAGAGCAUAUGGACGGUUGGGAUUUUAUUUGGAAGCUAGGGUUACAUAAUGGGCCUAUUGGGCCAGCUCUCUAGCACGAAACAGAGGAGCAAGACGCGUGCUCCCAUCCCACAUCAGAAUCGCCGCCUCCAUUGCUCCUACGAGCUGCUGCUGCCUUCUCCGAGCUGAAGUAUCCUCCAAGCAGCUGCCUUCCCCCUCCUCCGCGUGCAACAGCACCUCUUCCCCCUCCUCCUCCUCCUCUUCCCCCUCCUCCUCCUCUUAACACCUGGGGCGACUUGGGGGCGAUUAAUCACGACGAGUCACAGACUAAUCGCAGCGAGCCACUAGUUGGAGGCAUGGCGACUCGACUUGGCUAGGCGACUCAAAAACCUUGCUCACAUCAUUGUUCUUUGCCAUGGUGCAGGCUUUGGUGCUGAAUGUAGAAUCUAGGCUUCCUCCUGACUACCCUUCUAAUGGUAUCCUCUCCUGCCUCAAUCUACGUUGUGUGGAUACUUCAGAAAGCGCACGUAUCCAGCCGGAUACUGCCCCGAUACGUAUCCCGUAAAUAUCUUUCGAUUUUUUGAUUUUAGAAAAAGAAAAUAAUGUUCGAUACUCCUGGGAUACUGCUGCGAUACGUUUUGGAUACCUCAAACCCCUCGUUCAACCUGAAAUCCCCUCAAUAGAAAAGGCGCACGUUUGAAGAUUCCCAACAUGGGCGUGAGUUCAUGUCAAAACAUGACUAUCAAUGUUCUUGUUCACCGGCCAUGUUGCUCUAAUUUCCCCUACGCCUAUUCACUGCACGUCACAACAACACAUGCCAAAAGAAAAUCUGGAAUAUAAUGACUAAAAAUUUGGAAUAUAAUGCCACAAAAACUUGCAAAAUUUCUUUUAAAUAUGCAUCUCUACUCUCUCCUGUUCACAAAAAUAUGUUGUACUCUAGCUAGCAUAUACAGAUCAUACAUGUUCUAUUGAUUGGGGGGUCACCAAUCAGUGGAGAAAUCUGUAUAGAGAUAUAUGGGUGAGAAAGGCGCAGUACCAUUGCCUAUGUAACAUAUUAGUGUAACAAUCAUCAGUAUUAUAUACCUUGAAAUGUACAAGUCCACAUUGCAGACCACCCAAACAUGUCACAAUCCCUAUAUUGAGCUGAUAAAGCAAAAGAACCAGUCAGAACAUAUUAAAGUCAGGUUGAUUUACAAAUUGCAGGCAAUGAUUAAGAGUAGGUGAAUUACUAACCAAAGGAAGCCUCCAGAAUCAAAUCGAGCUGACACCAUCAUGGAUCAUUAGGUUGAAGCGAUAUAUUUCCUAGAUAAUAUACCUUGCAUUCCUGUAGUAAUAAAGCAUGCACAAUGAUUGGAGAUUAGAAUAAAAAAGGAUAGAAAGAAAUAGUUGUGAGAGAUCUUACAUUCACAUUUCAUGUAGCACACUAGAGAGAGGAAAAGACCGGCAAAUAUAAAAAAUAAGGACAAGAAUUGUUUUCUUAAAGGCCUAACUAAAAUGAACUGGUAAAGAACAACAAACCCCAUGGAAGAAAAGAACAAAAUAUGUUCUUCAGGUAGAAACAUCAGUCACCAGACUCACAUCAUUGUUCUCUGCUAUGGUGCAGGCUUUGGUGCUGAAUGUAGACUCUAGAGCUUCCUCCUGACUACCCUUCUCAUGGUAUCCUCUCAUGCCUCAAGCCCCCAAUCGACUUCUCCAAUCUCCAACUUGCCCAUGUGUUGCAGCAUGUCCCAAAAAGAGACAAACAUGAGGUACUGCGUCUUGCCCGGGACAUCAACCUAUGUACAAAAAGAUUUCUUAGUAUUAGUUCAUACUCCGUACUUCAUAGCUGGAAGAAAGUAAUAUUAAAGGAAUGGUUCAAUCACAGUAUAACCUAGAAGUGUAAAAAUUAAAGAGAAACCUUAACCUUUAGAAGACAACUUUCCCAACUUUGUGCCAUCCGCUUCUAGACUUCACAUGCGCACCACGAUUGUGCUACUUAUACAUGCCUAUAUUAGAACAGAUUCGGCAGAAAGCAGGUCAAUUGGCAUGAAGAUAAAUAUAUAAGGGUGUAUGUAAGAUCUCACAUCCGUAAGUACUCAACCGUUUUUUGUGCGUCCACACUCUGCAAGCAUUACCAAAGAUGAGUGGAUCUAGUUGAGAGUUUAAAAGCAAGGUGCAUAUAUUCAGAUUUUUUUAAAUGUUUUGGUAUGUUUUAUUGCGUGGGUGCACCAAGGUGGGGUUCAGCCACUACUUUCCCUAUAUUCAAAUGUAAGUCAUAUUGGCGCACAUGCAGCUCUACAUCUACACUGAAGUCUGAAUUUGAAAAAAGUUGAAAUAGAUAGUAGUGUCUACACUCUUCAUGUAGAUCACAAUAUCACAUUAUAAUCCUCUACAAUGGUUACAUGUAAAGCAAAUUUGGAGGCAUAUACAACUAAAAAGUAAAUCAUUGUAUCAUGGAAAUGACAUACUAAUAUGGACCAUGGAAUAAAAUACUAUUGGAAGGCAUGUCUGCAAGGAUUGUUUAGAAACUUGAUCACUGUAUCAUGAAAAUGAUAUUGCAAGAGCUGACCUUUCCCUUGUGCACAUUCCCAUGCUUUGACUAAAAUAGAGCAUUUGCAGUUCCUGCUUGGAUGCUCACUUUCUUUCUGUUUACUCACUUCAUAUGCUAUCCCCCGAUCAAAUCAACAGCUAGCCAACCAGCUCUACUUUUGCAGUUUGCAUUGAACACUCCAAAGGGAAAGUUAGAGGCCACCCAUGGCUUCAAGGAUGAGGUAGUAACAGCAAGGUCGAUGAGUAGCGAGAGCGCACCAGACACGGCCGCCCCAGCCCCUCCUCGACGGCACCACGGAGAUUGAGCCGCUACCGCACAGGGAGAGCCUAAGGAGCCGGUCAAGGAGACAGUACUGGCACACGUCGUUGUAGACACAAGGAGAUAGUACGGUCACACUUCAUCCUCCAUUAACUCUAACAUGAGCAUGUAGGCGCCUGCUACAGAAAACGGGCGUGUAAAAAUCCGCACGAGGAUGCAAAGAAAAUGGACAGUAAGGGGCCUUCUUUGUUAAAAAUGGUGCAUCUAGUUGGUUAACAAACUGCAGCUCAAAGAAAAAAAAUCAAUUACUUGGUAAAAAUGUCCCGAUAAUUCCUGGCCAGAAGCUAUGUUGCAACAAAGAUUAAUCUUAAAUUACCAAUCACCUCCAAGCAUGUUCUUACGUCCAGCCAAAGCUAUGACACCUUCAUCAGGAAAUAAUAUAUUUCAAACAUGAGUACAUGACUCACGUAGCUAGUUCCAUAUACAUACCCUGGGUGUAUACACUACUGCAAUUUCAGGCGACAGUGUGAUGCUAUCCAUUAGUGAAGCCCCAUGAAUCCUCCAUUUAUUUAUUCAAUCAAGGCAUUUAUAUCUUCCCCCAUUCUCCUAUCAUCUAUAUUCUCACCUGCAAAGACAUCAGACAAUCAAUAAUGUUGAAGAGCCAUCGUUAUUUUUAACUACUUAAGGGCAGCCAACCAUAGGAACGUAGCAGGUACUGAACCAAAUAAUAACAAAGAGAUACAAAGGAUUUUGAAUUUUUAAACCACAGUUAGUCUAUGAAGAGCAUCUAUAUAGCAAACAAAUAUGAACUUUCACAACAAUAAGGAAUGACAAGUAAUUACUUUGCUCCCUUAAUAGUUGAUACUGGUAUGCACCCAUAUGAUCUUUCUGAAAUUAGUACCUUCAAUGGACCAAUAUUAGUAUUAUCAGUGGGCCAAUAUCUACUCCACAUGAAAAACAAAUCGUGGUGUAAAAAGAGAUAUACAGCUGGUCCAACUUAUUCAAGAGAUUAACAAAGAAAGAAAAUCUCCGCAAUUAGAGUAUAUAGCUUCCGUCUGAAGAUAUGGACAUGCUUUGAUAUUUUUCAAAUAAGUAAGCAAUAUCAAACUUGAGGUUUCUUCAUGGAGCUGAAAUCACUCACAAACUCAGUUAAGGAGGGAGAUAUCAAAACAGAAAUGCUAAUUACUCUGCCAUAUGGAAAUAGAAAUACAUCAGAGAGCAGUCACUGGAAAAUCAAGGAUCCUGAUUUAUAUGCACGAACACUGAUGGCCUGACUUACAAGCAUGAACAAAUAAGGUUGGCCUCUGGAGGCUAGGUGAUUUAUAUGCACGUUUGGCUGCCGGUGAGCUACGACUGGUGCGUGCAGUACGCGCUGCUUGCCGGUGGCAGCGACAGAGAAGAGGCCAUUCGGAUUAGAUCAGAGGGUUAGGGUUUCCACGGGGAGGAAGCAAAGGCCACACCGAGGAAAAGUUCGUGCGUGAUUGAUUGCUGCGGUUAGGAUUUGGGACCAUGCUGAUAGUGUCGUUCUAGGGCUCAGAGUAGGGACGGAGGAGACAGCGAGGAAUCACAACAACGAGGAGGCGGGAGGAAGGGGGGCGUGCGCCAUGGGAGACGGAGGGGACCGCUGGUGAGAAAGAGGGAGGGAGGAGGCGCCGUGGGGGAGGAGAACAAGGGGGCGCGGGAGCGGAGGCACGGGCAAAAAUUGGGGUGUAGCGAGAGCACGGAGAAGGAAGAAGCUUACCGUCGCCGUCGGGUUCCUUCGUCGCUGCGCGCUCGUCGACCUGCUGGAAGAGAGCUCUAGCAUGCUGCGGCUGCGGCGGCUGCAGCGCAAGGAACCCUAGAGCGCGGGAGGCAGGAAAGGUCGACGAACACCAUGUUGUUGCGGCAGCGGCGUGAGGAACCCUAGCGCGUGCUAGGGGAUCUGGGACACGAGCGACUCGUGCGAUGUCUGAACCGUUUUUCUUCCGAACCCCGGAGGAAAACAGCGUGGAGUGGUCGUGGUGGGAGGGGGACAAAAAAAAACAGCGAA
RNAcentral lists this long non-coding RNA (6550 nucleotides) under Triticum aestivum (bread wheat). RNAcentral describes it as "long non-coding RNA (TAES_LNC004274)". Lineage: Eukaryota; Viridiplantae; Streptophyta; Magnoliopsida; Poales; Poaceae. The record is from RNAcentral.